CGGCCCAUUCCUUAUAAUUCCGCGAACAUAAAGGGGUCGCGGAACAGUGCAGUUCGCGAAACAGAGAGGGGCGGGCGACGGGCGUUCGUGCGGGAGAGCAAGAGUGUUAUUUUGGGAGAGAUUGGAAGAACGAGAGAAACGGACGAUAAGGCUUAAGGGAAAGGUUUGUUGAAUUUUCUUUCAGAUUUUUUCGUAUAAAUUUCCUCCCUUUACCUCAUCCAAAGUGAAUGAUAUAUUUCUUGAAAGAUAAGGAAAGAAUUGAAGCGAAGAAAGAGGAAAUUUCGAGAAGAAGGAUUUUGAGAGUUUGAGAAGUCUCCAUUCAAAAGAGUAAGUGAAUUCCUUCCAAUUUCAGUUUUAAUGAUAUUUAGAAUUUAAAUCAAAAUAUUAUAUUGAUAGAAGUUAUUGUUUGAAAUUAGGGUUUUUGAAAGUGAAAGAUUCAAGUCAUAAGUGUUGAUCCCGCGAGGAUUUAGCAAGAAGAGAAAUUGAUUCAAGAAUAGAUCAAGCAUCGAAGGCCUGAAAAGUUCAAAGUGGGUAAAUUAUAUUAUUUUAUGUUUUAUUCAUGAUUUCAAUUUUCUAAAUAAUUGAUUAAAAUAUUGUAUUAUAAAAUGUUGAAGACAAAUCCUUAUGAUAUUAUAGUCUUAAGAAAGAAUCCAUCUAUGAUAAGCUUAUGAGAAAAGAAAGGAAAUAAUUUAUAAGGAUACAUGUGAUAUAUGCUAUAUGCAAUGAUAACUAUAAGGAUGAAAAUGAGAAAUGAAAAGAAAAUAAAGGAAAAGGGUAUUACAAAAUGACAGGAGUCACCCCCUUAUGGUACUGGCUGGGGACGCCGUACUCGUGCACGAAAAUGGAAAAGGAAAAGGCUAUGGAAAUGGAAAAGGACUAUGGAAAUGGAAAAAUGAAAGCAAAUGGAAAAGGUUGUACCUUCAGGUACUUUGAGACGGUGCUCCUGUGCAAAGUAAAU
Molecule: long non-coding RNA, 958 nt
Organism: Dendrobium catenatum
Lineage: Eukaryota; Viridiplantae; Streptophyta; Magnoliopsida; Asparagales; Orchidaceae
Exons: 2
Source: RefSeq, a predicted model, not a curated record